CGCAGCCUUGUCAAAUUCGGUGCCUGCCCACCCAUGGCCUGCGCUGGCCCAAAAGGCUGCCAUAGAAACACUGUGACUCAUGGGCCCUGACCCCCUCUGCUGGGUCUCAGGGAUAGAUUUGGUUACAGACACCA
Molecule: small nucleolar RNA, 134 nt
Organism: Pteropus vampyrus (large flying fox)
Lineage: Eukaryota; Metazoa; Chordata; Mammalia; Chiroptera; Pteropodidae
Source: Ensembl